This 107-nucleotide Y RNA is filed under the name Apaloderma vittatum (bar-tailed trogon). It matches the Rfam family "Y RNA". Rfam says of the family: Y RNAs are components of the Ro ribonucleoprotein particle (Ro RNP), in association with Ro60 and La proteins. The Y RNAs and Ro60 and La proteins are well conserved, but the function of the Ro RNP is not known. Lineage: Eukaryota; Metazoa; Chordata; Aves; Trogoniformes; Trogonidae. The record is from Rfam by way of RNAcentral.
GACUGGUCUGAAAGUAAUGGAGUAUCUUAAUUGAUUGUUCAGUCGGUUACAGAUUCAUCUCAUUCUCUCUUUCCCCCCUUCUCACUACUGCACUUAACUAGUCUUUA